Molecule: ribosomal RNA, 490 nt
Filed under: uncultured bacterium
Lineage: Bacteria
Description: partial 16S ribosomal RNA
Rfam family: Bacterial small subunit ribosomal RNA
Source: RNAcentral
AUUGAACGCUGGCGGCAGGCCUAACACAUGCAAGUCGAACGGUAACAGGAAGAAGCUUGCUUCUUUGCUGACGAGUGGCGGACGGGUGAGUAAUGUCUGGGAAACUGCCUGAUGGAGGGGGAUAACUACUGGAAACGGUAGCUAAUACCGCAUAACGUCGCAAGACCAAAGAGGGGGACCUUCGGGCCUCUUGCCAUCGGAUGUGCCCAGAUGGGAUUGGCUAGUAGGUGGGGUAACGGCUCACCUAGGCGACGAUCCCUAGCUGGUCUGAGAGGAUGACCAGCCACACUGGAACUGAGACACGGUCCAGACUCCUACGGGAGGCAGCAGUGGGGAAUAUUGCACAAUGGGCGCAAGCCUGAUGCAGCCAUGCCGCGUGUAUGAAGAAGGCCUUCGGGUUGUAAAGUACUUUCAGCGGGGAGGAAGGGAGUAAAGUUAAUACCUUUACUCAUUGACGUUACCCGCAGAAGAAGCACCGGCUAACUCCGUG